GACGGAGGAUGCAAGCGUUUAUCCGGAAUGAUUGGGCGUAAAGCGUCCGCAGGUGGCAGUUCAAGUCUGCUGUCAAAGACCGGGGCUUAACUUCGGAAAGGCAGUGGAAACUGAACAGCUAGAGUAUGGUAGGGGCAGAGGGAAUUCCUGGUGUAGCGGUGAAAUGCGUAGAGAUCAGGAAGAACAUCGGUGGCGAAGGCGCUCUGCUGGACCAUAACUGACACUCAGGGACGAAAGCUAGGGGAGCAAACUGGG
RNAcentral lists this ribosomal RNA (255 nucleotides) under uncultured bacterium. RNAcentral's name for it is "partial 16S ribosomal RNA". It matches the Rfam family "Bacterial small subunit ribosomal RNA", at positions 524 to 777 of the family's 1533-position model. The record is from RNAcentral.